GACGAACGCUGGCGGCGUGCCUAAUACAUGCAAGUCGAGCGAAGUUUUUCUGGUGCUUGCACUAGAAAAACUUAGCGGCGAACGGGUGAGUAACACGUAAAGAACCUGCCUCAUAGACUGGGACAACUAUUGGAAACGAUAGCUAAUACCGGAUAACAGUAUUUCUCGCAUGAGAGAUAUUUAAAAGUUGGUUAUGCUAACACUAUGAGAUGGCUUUGCGGUGCAUUAGCUAGUUGGUGGGGUAAAGGCCCACCAAGGCGACGAUGCAUAGCCGACCUGAGAGGGUGAUCGGCCACACUGGGACUGAGACACGGCCCAGACUCCUACGGGAGGCAGCAGUAGGGAAUCUUCCGCAAUGGGCGAAAGCCUGACGGAGCAACGCCGCGUGAGUGAAGAAGGAUUUCGGUUCGUAAAGCUCUGUUGUUAGGGAAGAAUGGAUAUGUAGUAACUAUACAUGUAAGAGACGACCUAACCAGAAGCCACGC
Molecule: ribosomal RNA, 485 nt
Filed under: Gemella morbillorum
Lineage: Bacteria; Bacillati; Bacillota; Bacilli; Caryophanales; Gemellaceae
Description: bacterial SSU rRNA
Rfam family: Bacterial small subunit ribosomal RNA
Source: RNAcentral